UACUUGCUCAUUAUGUAUGUAUGUCUGCCAAGCGCCAACACACACUUUCUCGGUCAAGUGCAGAAACCGAGAAGCACCAACACUUUUAUAUCUUGUUUUUUUUUUGGUAAGAUAUCUCUGUUUUAAAAAACAAAAACAAAUUAUAAAAUAAUAAUAAUAAUAAUAAUAAUAAUAAUAAUAAUAGCAACAUGCUCUACAACACACUCUAUUAGAAUAACUUUCUGCAUACACCAUAGAGCUUGAUUCCAACCUAUAACGAGAAGUACUUGAGUAACAGUUCAUCUUUCCCUUUCUUCAGACCCUCUCAUUCUUCUUCUUAUUCUUCUUGUUCUUCUUCUUCNNNNNNNNNNNNNNNNNNNNNNNNNNNNNNNNNNNNNNNNNNNNNNUUAGUCUCGCAAUUUGGCUUCUUGCGCUUACUGCAUGAAGCUAUAGCCUCUGAAUUUUUUUGAAAUGUCUUAAACAGUUCAUCCAAGAUUUUGCGACGGCGCAAGGCAUCUUCCUCCUGGUUAGGAGACAUUGAUACUAAAAAAUGAAAAUAUGUUUUGAAAGAAAGUAAAUUUGUGUGAAAAGCAAAGUUUGAAGAAAAACUUGCCGCAUCAUAGUCAGAGUCAAGGUAAUCAGUUUCCAUUACGCGUGAGAGGUCUUUCUCUGUCUCUGUGUAUUUUCUUUUUUUUGAACAGCCUUCCUCUGUGUAUUGUGUUUAUUUAUUUAUCAUCAAUCAAAUAAUAAAUGCAUACAUUAAACAAACAGCAAGAAAGAAGAACCAAUAAAUAAAAAGUGAUCGAUGAUUUGAGUUACCUAGUGAUUGCAUUUGCACUGGUGAUUUCACCGAGAGACCCAUCUUCUAGCCGGCAAGGUUAUUUCAACUAAUGAUGAUGAUGAUAAUUAGUAAUAUAGGAAUAUGUAUGUAUGUAUGUAUUCACGAAACCCUAAGUUAUUACAAAGGUUUUAAACCCUAAUAAUCACACAGAUUUAAUUUAAUGAUGAUGAUAAUUAGUAUUAUAGGAACAUCAACCAUAAGUUACUAAUCAACGAAAACCCUGGAAAAAAAAAGGAGAAAUAAUAGGUGUAAUCGAGGGGGUUUAAUUCAAUUUCACAUAAUCUCAAAGGUUUUAAACCCUAAUUCGAGAAGAUUCGACAAUAUGAAGUGGAAUGAAUUUAUCAAAA
RNAcentral lists this long non-coding RNA (1167 nucleotides) under Trifolium pratense (red clover). RNAcentral describes it as "long non-coding RNA (TPRA_LNC010226)". Lineage: Eukaryota; Viridiplantae; Streptophyta; Magnoliopsida; Fabales; Fabaceae. The record is from RNAcentral.